Molecule: ribosomal RNA, 939 nt
Filed under: Triticum aestivum (bread wheat)
Lineage: Eukaryota; Viridiplantae; Streptophyta; Magnoliopsida; Poales; Poaceae
Description: partial small subunit ribosomal RNA
Source: RNAcentral
AUGUUCAGAGAGCUGAUCGAGGCAAACUCGGCUCUCGUCGGAGGGUUUCAUAUGGAGGACUACUUCCCAAGGUUGGCCAAGGUACGUCUUCUCAGUAGGUUCGUCCGCAACAACGCCGAGACGGCACACAAGAGGUGGGACGAACUGCUAGAAGCGAUAAUAAGAGACCACGAGAAAAACCCAACGCACCAUGGCAGGGAGAACGGUGUCGACGAGCAAGGAGAGAGUGACUUCAUCGACGUGCUGCUAUCGGUUCAGCAAGAGUUUCAUGGCAUCACCAGAGACCAUAUCAAGGCCAUCUUAAUGGACCUGUUCGGAGCGGGCACGGACACGUCGUCUCUGGUCCUAGAAUUCGCCAUGGCCGAGCUCAUGCGCACACCUGAUCAACUCAUGGCCAAGCUUCAGGCUGAGGUGCGACACGGCACUCCCGCCGGACAAGAAUUUGUCGAGGAGCAUAACCUGGCCGGCAUGGGCUAUCUGAAGGCCGUGGUGAAGGAGACGCUCAGGCUGCAUCCGCCGGCGCCGCUCCUCCUCCCACACCUGGCGAUGGCGGACUGCGACGUCGACGGCUACAGCAUACCCUCUGAGACUCGAGUCAUCGUCAACGCAUGGGCUAUUGGCAGAGACCCCGGGUCCUGGGAGAAGCCGGACGACUUCGUGCCAGAGAGGUUCCUCGAGGGUGGCACCGCGGCAGCGGUGGACUUGACGGGCAAGGACUUUCAGUUUGUGCCAUUCGGGGCUGGCCGGAGAAUCUGCCCCGGUCUUAACUUCGGGUUGGCUACUGUCGAGAUCAUGCUGGCGAACCUCGCGUACUGCUUCGACUGGGAGCUGCCGAUCGGCAUGGAGAGGGACGAUGUCGAUAUGACGGAGGUGUUUGGUCUGACUGUCCGUAGGAAGGAGAAGCUCAUGCUUGUCCCCAACACCCACGUGCUUGCUUGA